AAUCCAUAGGUUAAUGAGGCGAACCGGGGGAACUGAAACAUCUAAGUACCCCGAGGAAAAGAAAUCAACCGAGAUUCCCCCAGUAGCGGCGAGCGAACGGGGAGGAGCCCAGAGCCUGAAUCAGCAUGUGUGUUAGUGGAAGCGUCUGGAAAGGCGCGCGAUACAGGGUGACAGCCCCGUACACAAAAGCGCAUGUGCUGUGAGCUCGAUGAGUAGGGCGGGACACGUGGUAUCCUGUCUGAAUAUGGGGGGACCAUCCUCCAAGGCUAAAUACUCCUGACUGACCGAUAGUGAACCAGUACCGUGAGGGAAAGGCGAAAAGAACCCCGGCGAGGGGAGUGAAAAAGAACCUGAAACCGUGUACGUACAAGCAGUGGGAGCACCCUUUGGGUGUG
RNAcentral lists this ribosomal RNA (395 nucleotides) under Salmonella enterica. RNAcentral describes it as "partial 23S ribosomal RNA". It matches the Rfam family "Bacterial large subunit ribosomal RNA", at positions 161 to 595 of the family's 2925-position model. The record is from RNAcentral. Lineage: Bacteria; Pseudomonadati; Pseudomonadota; Gammaproteobacteria; Enterobacterales; Enterobacteriaceae. RNAcentral also lists the same sequence under 1 other name.